CAUCACACACAACACACACACGUAUCACACAUACACACACACAUCACACACACACACAUCACAUCAUACACACACAUCACGCACACACACACACACACAUCAAACACGCGCAUCACACACACGCACACACAACACACACACGUAUCACACAUACACACACACAUCCCAUACAAAUACACACAUAUAUCAUAUCACACAAACACAAACACACAGAAUACAGACACAUCACACACACAUCAUACUCACACAAAGACACACACACACAUCACACAUACACACACAAAGACACACACACCCAAACACAUCACACACACAUCAGACGCACAGACACACACACACACCACACAUAUCACACACACACACAUAUAUC
RNAcentral lists this long non-coding RNA (370 nucleotides) under Lathyrus oleraceus (garden pea). RNAcentral describes it as "Pisum sativum (pea) long non-coding RNA (PSAT_LNC002039)". The record is from RNAcentral. Lineage: Eukaryota; Viridiplantae; Streptophyta; Magnoliopsida; Fabales; Fabaceae.